RNAcentral lists this ribosomal RNA (273 nucleotides) under uncultured prokaryote. RNAcentral's name for it is "partial 16S ribosomal RNA". It matches the Rfam family "Bacterial small subunit ribosomal RNA", at positions 524 to 796 of the family's 1533-position model. The record is from RNAcentral.
UACGGAGGUCCCGAGCGUUGUUCGGAAUUACUGGGCGUAAAGGGAGCGCAGGCGGACGGGUCAGUCUGAAGUGGAAAUCCGGGGCUUAACCUCGGACUUGCUUCGGAUACUGCCUGUCUUGAGUUCGUGAGAGGAAGAUGGAAUUCAGGGUGUAGCGGUGAAAUGCUCAGAUAUCCUGAGGAACACCAGUGGCGAAAGCGGUCUUCUGGCACGAAACUGACGCUGAGGCUCGAAAGCGUGGGUAGCAAACAGGAUUAGAAACCCUAGUAGUCC